UGAGACAAAGGAUGAAAUUGACAACACACAUGGAGAAAAGGAAAACAAAGAGACAAUCUGUCCCCAGAACGGAACAGCUAACAGCAAACGCUACUGAAAAUCAUGGGGCAGGCAUCUCCACGGAGUGAAGGGAAGAGCCCAGCUAAAGACCCAGGAAAUAAAUCAAAAAAGGGACAGCGUUUGAGGUGGUCCCUGACCAGUGGACAAGACUUAGCUGGGCUCAGGCAAGUUGUUCUGUGUGGCUGGAGUACAGAAUAUGCUGGAAACCGGGGAGGUCAAAAAAAAAAAUGAACAGGAAAUUCUG
Long non-coding RNA from Sapajus apella (tufted capuchin), 304 nucleotides. RefSeq lists it as uncharacterized. The record is from RefSeq and is a predicted model, not a curated record. NCBI's taxonomy places the organism in Eukaryota, Metazoa, Chordata, Mammalia, Primates, Cebidae. The transcript has 3 exons.